AUGACAAGAGGUUGGCUUGCCUGGGGGUCGAGGAUUACUCCGGAAAAAGUGCGAAACGAUCGCGGAAAGAUUUGUCGAAAACAGUUCUCUCUUGGAGGGGGCUGUUUAUGGGCAAGGGCAAAGUGGUCAUUUUUACUGUGUGGAAACAUAAUGAAAAUGAUACCAACGGAAAGAUUUCGGCGAGACGAAGACGUGAGCGUUGGUUUCACCUUAAUCGGAGUUACGGUUGUCAAGAUGCGAAGGGUUGAAGUUCAGGGACCUAUCGGUGAUUUUUUUUCAGCAAACAGGCCCGUGGAGGAAAAACUGAACGCGCCUUUGGGCCGAAUACGUUUUCCGCAUGGGGAAACGCUUUUUAACCCGAAGUGCCCAAGGAAUAUGUUUUCCGACCUGGAAAACGUAUACAAUAUGAAUACGUUUCCAGAGCAGGGAAACGGCUUCAGGGUGGGCACGUCCACUUAUCCGACGUGGCCAGCGGGGCCACGCCCUCCUCUUGCCGAUAGGUGGGUCCCGCAGGGUGGGCCCCAUCUGGCCUGGCUUCUUCUUCCUCUAGCGCGUACGCGCGCCUUGCCGAGGGAGGUAGCCGCCCCGACGGCGCUCGCCGGUGACUCCGGGCACCGUUCGCGACGCCCGACCUAUCCACGAGCUCGGGAGCGAGAGGCGCAUACCGUGGUGGUGUCCGUUGCCGGCGAGGAGCACCGGAGAAGGAGCAGUAGGGAUCGCGGCGGAGGUGGUCUUCGGACUCCGGUGAACUGGGGGCUCCGGUGGGGGAACUGGGUUGGCGAGGCUACGGGAAGGUGCGCCGGACCUCGGGGGACGCAUAGGUGGUGGUGGAACGCCGAGGGGGCACGGCAUUGCCGGGAUCGAGCGAAGCACGAAACGGCGGCCAUGGCGACGGGGAUGGGUCAGAGAGCUCCUCGAGCUCGCUAG
RNAcentral lists this ribosomal RNA (927 nucleotides) under Triticum aestivum (bread wheat). RNAcentral's name for it is "partial small subunit ribosomal RNA". Lineage: Eukaryota; Viridiplantae; Streptophyta; Magnoliopsida; Poales; Poaceae. The record is from RNAcentral.